GCCCGGUUAGCUCAAUCGGUAGAGCGUGAGACUCUUAAUCAAGUUUCACUUGACAUCUCAAGGUUGCGGGUUCGACCCCCGCAUUGGGCU
This 90-nucleotide transfer RNA is filed under the name [Torrubiella] hemipterigena. Its description in RNAcentral is "Torrubiella hemipterigena tRNA". It matches the Rfam family "tRNA". From Rfam's summary of the family: Transfer RNA (tRNA) molecules are approximately 80 nucleotides in length. Their secondary structure includes four short double-helical elements and three loops (D, anti-codon, and T loops). Lineage: Eukaryota; Fungi; Ascomycota; Sordariomycetes; Hypocreales; Clavicipitaceae. The record is from Rfam by way of RNAcentral.